GCCGAGGUGGUGAAACUGGUAGACGCGCCGGAUUCAAAAUCCGGUAUCCUUCGGGAUGUGGGGGUUCGAUUCCCUUCCUCGGCA
This 84-nucleotide transfer RNA is filed under the name Woeseiaceae bacterium. RNAcentral's name for it is "tRNA-Leu". It matches the Rfam family "tRNA". Rfam says of the family: Transfer RNA (tRNA) molecules are approximately 80 nucleotides in length. Their secondary structure includes four short double-helical elements and three loops (D, anti-codon, and T loops). Lineage: Bacteria; Pseudomonadati; Pseudomonadota; Gammaproteobacteria; Woeseiales; Woeseiaceae. The record is from RNAcentral.